GGAAUAAAGUGCGGGACGUGUCCCGUUUUGUAUGUACCUUAUGAAUAAGGAUCGGCUAACUCCGUGCCAGCAGCCGCGGUAAUACGGAGGAUCCGAGCGUUAUCCGGAUUUAUUGGGUUUAAAGGGUGCGUAGGCGGCCUUUUAAGUCAGCGGUGAAAGUCUGUGGCUCAACCAUAGAAUUGCCGUUGAAACUGGGGGGCUUGAGUAUGUUUGAGGCAGGCGGAAUGCGUGGUGUAGCGGUGAAAUGCAUAGAUAUCACGCAGAACCCCGAUUGCGAAGGCAGCCUGCCAAGCCAUUACUGACGCUGAUGCACGAAAGCGUGGGGAUCAAACAGGAUUAGAUACCCUGGUAGUCCACGCAGUAAACGAUGAUCACUAGCUGUUUGCGAUACACUGUAAGCGGCACAGCGAAAGCGUUAAGUGAUCCACCUGGGGAGUACGCCGGCAACGGUGAAACUCAAAGGAAUUGACGGGGGCCCGCACAAGCGGAGGAACAUGUGGUUUAAUUCGAUGAUACGCGAGGAACCUUACCCGGGUUUGAACGCAUUUCGACAGCUCUGGAAACAGAGUCUCUAGCGAUAGCGAUUUGCGAGGUGCUGCAUGGUUGUCGUCAGCUCGUGCCGUGAGGUGUCGGCUUAAGUGCCAUAACGAGCGCAACCCUUGCCACUAGUUACUAACAGGUAAAGCUGAGGACUCUGGUGGGACUGCCAGCGUAAGCUGCGAGGAAGGCGGGGAUGACGUCAAAUCAGCACGGCCCUUACAUCCGGGGCGACACACGUGUUACAAUGGCGUGGACAAAGGGAAGCCACCUGGCGACAGGGAGCGAAUCCCCAAACCACGUCUCAGUUCGGAUCGGAGUCUGCAACCCGACUCCGUGAAGCUGGAUUCGCUAGUAAUCGCGCAUCAGCCAUGGCGCGGUGAAUACGUUCCCGGGCCUUGUACACACCGCCCGUCAAGCCAUGGGAGCCGGGGGUACCUGAAGUCCGUAACCGCGAGGAUCGGCCUAGGGUAAAACUGGUGACUGGGGCUAAGUCGUAACAAGGUAGCCGUACCGGAAGGUGCGGCUG
This 1066-nucleotide ribosomal RNA is filed under the name human gut metagenome. Its description in RNAcentral is "bacterial SSU rRNA". It matches the Rfam family "Bacterial small subunit ribosomal RNA", at positions 443 to 1520 of the family's 1533-position model. The record is from RNAcentral.